UACAACCAUCACGAUGCAACGUCUUCUUGUUCUUGCCUGCCUGGUGGCCGUGGUCGUCGCCGACAGCUACAAGACUCCCAUCCCAAUCCUGAAGGACGACCGCACACAGAACGCUUAUGGCGAGUACACCUUCGACUUCGAGACUGGAAACGGCAUCGCCAGGAACGAGGCUGGAAGGCAGGCUGAUGGACAGGAGUCCUCAGGAGGAUGGAGCUACACCGCUCCCGAAGGCAUCCCCAUCAAGCUGACCUUCACCUCUGGUGCCGGCGGUUACCAGCCCGUAGGCGACCAUCUUCCCGUGGGACCCACACCAGUGCCUCUUCCUUACGAACGCAACGACUACUAAAUCUCUUUUUCUAAGUCUAGUGUCUGCUUCAUAUUGACGAUCUCAGUGAUAUGAAAUGAGCCAUAUUUAUAUUUUCCCCUUUUCACUAUUUAUUGAACGAAUUUCGUUCACGCCUGAUUAUCUUCAAUAAAACCUUAUCUACAAUA
This 492-nucleotide unclassified non-coding RNA is filed under the name Penaeus japonicus. RNAcentral describes it as "endocuticle structural glycoprotein SgAbd-1-like, transcript variant X4". Lineage: Eukaryota; Metazoa; Arthropoda; Malacostraca; Decapoda; Penaeidae. The record is from RNAcentral.